GUGCUGCACCAACGCGAUGUUGUGUGGAUAAAAAGUUUACAGUCAUCAUGACAGAUGUAAGAUCUGUAACAAAAGGAUUAUACGUUUACAACGUGAUGUCCGAGGAUUUUGAUGCAAAACUUAUAGGAAUAAAUACACUUCUGUUCAACCCAGGGCAGAGUAGUGUACCAACAGGAUAUCGACAGGUCCAAGACUUUAAUACGAAAAAGCAGUACAGUAUUACGCCACAAGGCUGUAAUGUAUCGGAUAUAGUAUUUGAUCUUCAAGGACCUUGUGUACCUGAUACUGCUGAAUAUCUAGGCUCCAAUUAUUUUGGAUAUGGUGUUGGCAGUUUAAAGUAUGAUGCCUACAGAUUUACUUUAGAGAAAACCGACGCCAAUAUUACUGUUAUCUUUACUCAAGGAGAUUGCAUACCAGUACUAGAGGGAGUAUCUGGCGUAAUAAAUGGAGUUGCGGUUGAUUCGACCUACACAUUCACAACCUAUGAAAAAGAAAUUCAAGAUCGAUCUAUUUUCAACAUACCAUCAAGUUGUCAACAGCCUUAAAACAAAU
Patella vulgata (common limpet) is the source of this 552-nucleotide long non-coding RNA. RefSeq lists it as uncharacterized. Lineage: Eukaryota; Metazoa; Mollusca; Gastropoda; Patellidae. The transcript has 5 exons. The record is from RefSeq and is a predicted model, not a curated record.